This 1090-nucleotide ribosomal RNA is filed under the name Sphingobacterium sp. RNAcentral describes it as "bacterial SSU rRNA". It matches the Rfam family "Bacterial small subunit ribosomal RNA", at positions 368 to 1472 of the family's 1533-position model. The record is from RNAcentral. Lineage: Bacteria; Pseudomonadati; Bacteroidota; Sphingobacteriia; Sphingobacteriales; Sphingobacteriaceae.
UCAAUGGGCGGAAGCUGAACCCAGCCAUGCCGCGUGCAGGAUGACUGCCCUAUGGGUGUAAACUGCUUUUGUCCAGGAAUAAACCUCAUUACGUGUAGUAGAGCUGAAUGUACUGGAAGAAUAAGGAUCGGCUAACUCCGUGCCAGCAGCCGCGGUAAUACGGAGGAUCCGAGCGUUAUCCGGAUUUAUUGGGUUUAAAGGGUGCGUAGGCGGCCUGUUAAGUCAGGGGUGAAAUACGGUGGCUCAACCAUCGCAGUGCCUUUGAUACUGACGGGCUUGAAUCCAUUUGAAGUGGGCGGAAUAAGACAAGUAGCGGUGAAAUGCAUAGAUAUGUCUUAGAACUCCGAUUGCGAAGGCAGCUCACUAAGCUGGUAUUGACGCUGAUGCACGAAAGCGUGGGGAUCGAACAGGAUUAGAUACCCUGGUAGUCCACGCCCUAAACGAUGAUAACUCGAUGUUGGCGAUAGACCGCCAGCGUCCAAGCGAAAGCGUUAAGUUAUCCACCUGGGGAGUACGCCCGCAAGGGUGAAACUCAAAGGAAUUGACGGGGGCCCGCACAAGCGGAGGAGCAUGUGGUUUAAUUCGAUGAUACGCGAGGAACCUUACCCGGGCUUGAAAGUUAGUGAAGGAUGCAGAGACGCAUCCGUCCUUCGGGACACGAAACUAGGUGCUGCAUGGCUGUCGUCAGCUCGUGCCGUGAGGUGUUGGGUUAAGUCCCGCAACGAGCGCAACCCCUAUGUUUAGUUGCCAGCAUGUGAUGGUGGGGACUCUAAACAGACUGCCUGCGCAAGCAGAGAGGAAGGUGGGGACGACGUCAAGUCAUCAUGGCCCUUACGUCCGGGGCUACACACGUGCUACAAUGGAUGGUACAGCGGGCAGCUACAUAGCAAUAUGGUGCUAAUCUCUAAAAGCCAUUCACAGUUCGGAUUGGGGUCUGCAACUCGACCCCAUGAAGUUGGAUUCGCUAGUAAUCGCGUAUCAGCAAUGACGCGGUGAAUACGUUCCCGGGCCUUGUACACACCGCCCGUCAAGCCAUGAAAGUUGGGGGUACCUAAAGCAUGUGACCGCAAGGAGCGGUAGGUAGGCCAGU